ACUCCUACGGGAGGCAGCAGCUAAGAAUAUUCCGCAAUGGACGAAAGUCUGACGGAGCGACGCCGCGUGGAUGAAGAAGGCCGAAAGGUUGUAAAAUCCUUUUGUCGAUGAAGAAUAAGCAUGGGAGGGAAUGCCCGUGUGAUGACGUUAGUCGGCGAAUAAGCCCCGGCUAAUUACGUGCCAGCAGCCGCGGUAACACGUAAGGGGCGAGCGUUGUUCGGAAUUAUUGGGCGUAAAGGGCGCGUAGGCGGUCCUGUAAGCCCGGCGUGAAAACCUGGAGCUCAACUCCGGGCCUGCGCUGGGAACUGCGGGACUAGAGUCAUGGAAGGGAAGUUGGAAUUCCAGGUGUAGGGGUGAAAUCUGUAGAUAUCUGGAAGAACACCGGUGGCGAAGGCGAACUUCUGGCCAAUGACUGACGCUGAGGCGCGAAAGUGCGGGGAGCAAACAGGAUUAGAUACCCUGGUAGUC
Molecule: ribosomal RNA, 468 nt
Filed under: uncultured bacterium
Lineage: Bacteria
Description: bacterial SSU rRNA
Rfam family: Bacterial small subunit ribosomal RNA
Source: RNAcentral